UGACGUUGCGGCCAGAUCAGCAGCUU
Molecule: non-coding RNA, 26 nt
Filed under: Mus musculus (house mouse)
Lineage: Eukaryota; Metazoa; Chordata; Mammalia; Rodentia; Muridae
Source: RNAcentral